RNAcentral lists this ribosomal RNA (1509 nucleotides) under metagenome. RNAcentral's name for it is "bacterial SSU rRNA". It matches the Rfam family "Bacterial small subunit ribosomal RNA". The record is from RNAcentral.
AGAGUUUGAUCAUGGCUCAGAUUGAACGCUGGCGGCUUGGCUAACAUGUGCAAGUCGAACGGUAACAGGAAACAGCUUGCUGUUUCGCUGACGAGUGGCGGACGGGUGAGUAAUGUCUGGGAAACUGCCUGAUGGAGGGAUAACUACUGGAAACGGUAGCUAAUACCGCAUAACGUCGCAAGACCAAAGAGGGGGACCCUCGGGCCUCUUGCCAUCGGAUGUGCCCAGAUGGGAUUAGCUUGUUGGUGGGGUAACGGCUCACCAAGGCGACGAUCCCUAGCUGGUCUGAGAGGAUGACCAGCCACACUGGAACUGAGGGUACGGUCCAGACUCUACGGGAGGCAGCAGUGAAUAUUGCACAAUGGGCGCAAGCCUGAUGCAGCCAUGCCGCGUGUAUGAAGAAGGCCUCGUUUUAAAAGUACUUUCAGCGGGAGGAAGGAGUAAAGUUAAUCACCUUUGCUCAUUGACGUUACCGCAGAAGAAGCACACAACUCCGUGCCAGCAGCCGCGGUAAUACGGAGGGUGCAAGCGUUAAUCGGAAUUACUGGGCGUAAAGCGCACGCAGGCGGUUUGUUAAGUCAGAUGUGAAAUCCCGGGCUCAACCUGGGAACUGCAUCUGAUACUGGCAGCUUGAGUCUCGUAGAGGUAGAAUCAGGUGUAGCGGUGUGAAAUGCGUAGAGAUCUGGAGGAAUACCGGUGGCGAAGGCGGCCCUCUGGACGAAGACUGAUGCGCUCAGGUGCGAAAGCGUGGGGAGCAAACAGGAUUAGAUACCCUGGUAGUCCACGCCGUAAACGAUGUCGACUUGGAGGUUGUGCCCUUCGAGGCGUGGCUUCCGGAGCUAACGCGUUAAGUCGACCGCCUGGGGAGUACGGCCGCAAGGUUAAAACUCAAAUGAAUUGACGGGGGCCCGCACAAGCGGUGGAGCAUGUGGUUAAUUCGAUGCAACGCGAAGAACCUUACCUGGUCUUGACAUCCACGGAAGUUUUCGAGAUGAGAAUGUGCCCUUCGGGAACCGUGAGACAGGUGCUGCAUGGCUGUCGUCAGCUCGUGUUGUGAAAUGUUGGGGUUAAGUCCGCAACGAGCGCAACCCUUAGUCCUUUGUUGCCAGCGGUCCGGCCGGGAACUCAAAGGAGACUGCCAGUGAUAAACUGGAGGAAGGUGGGGAUGACGUCAGGUCAUCAUGGCCCUUGACGACCAGGGCUACACACGUGCCCCAUUGGCGCUUACAAAGAGAAGCGACCUCGCGAGAGCAAGCGGACCUCAUAAAGUGCGUCGUGGUCCGGAUUGGAGUCUGCAACUCGACUCCAUGAAGUCGGAAUCGCUAGUAAUCGUGGAUCAGAAUGCCACGGUAAAUACGUUCCGGGCCUUGUACACCGCGCCCGUCACACCAUGGGAGUGGGUUGCCAAAAGAAGUAGGUAGCUUACAACCUUCGGGGGGCGCUUACCACCUUUGUGAUUCAUGACUGGGGGUGAAGUCGUAACAAGGUAACCGUAGGGGCCUGCGGUUG